Molecule: long non-coding RNA, 298 nt
Filed under: Homo sapiens (human)
Lineage: Eukaryota; Metazoa; Chordata; Mammalia; Primates; Hominidae
Description: non-protein coding lnc-MTA3-1:1
Source: RNAcentral
GAGGUCUCGCUCUGUUGCCCAGACUGGUCCUAAACUCCUGGCCUCAAGUACUCCUCCUGCUUGGGCCUUCCAAAUUGUUGGGAUCAUAGGUAUGAACCACCAUGCCCAGCCUAGAAUUAGUAUUUCUAACAAGUUCUCAAAUGAUGCUGAUGCUGAAGGGGCCACACCUUAAGAACCACUGUCCUAGUGCAUUUCUCCGAUUUUACAGAUGCAGAAACCACGGCCCAGGGAAGACGCAGCUUGAGCAAGGUCACCGGCAGUUUCCUUUGCAGUAAAAUGGGAAUAAAAAGAAAAUCUA